Molecule: long non-coding RNA, 450 nt
Organism: Macrobrachium nipponense
Lineage: Eukaryota; Metazoa; Arthropoda; Malacostraca; Decapoda; Palaemonidae
Exons: 3
Source: RefSeq, a predicted model, not a curated record
GCAGACGCUUCGCCGCAGUCGCGCGCAGUCGCCAUUUCUGUGUUGUCGUCGUCUCGUCAUGGCUGCGGCUCCUUCUUCGGAUAUUUAGUCCUCGCCGCCUCAAUUUUCGUCGGGUUUUGGGCGGCGGGCGCCCACACUUUUGGGCAGCAAUGAACAACAUGUGGUCAGGAGCCCCCCAGUGGGCCUCUUGGGCUCUACAGCCCCAACAUUACCAAACAUGAAGCCGGAGGAAGCAUCCUCUGUAGACUGGGCAGAACUUGCAAAACAGUGGAUCCAGAUGAAAGAAACCACGUCGUCCUCGCAAGAUUCGAUGGAGCCUACGCAGUCUACGGCAGAUGUAUCUUCGAGUCCACCAGCGCCUCCGGCGGAAGACAAUGCAACAGCUGGUGGGGAAAUGGACAUGGAAAUUGAAGAUGAUAAGGGUCCAUCUGCCAAUGGUGGGGAACAACA